GCUCAGCGGCCUCUCUUCCUCCUGGUAGUGUGUCCAGCCCCUGCCUGCUCCUCUGUCCAGGGCGCCAGCAGGAGCUGCCCUCCCUCCCCUACCAGUGGCCGCCUCCGCCCCUCUCCCUUCCACCCCGGUCCCUGCCCUGGACUCUGCAAACAUGAGGGGCCUGGCCUGCCUCCUUGUGGCCCUGGUGGGGAUCCAGGCUCUCGAGCGCCUGCGCCUGGCCGACGGCCCCCACGGCUGCGCCGGCCGCCUGGAGGUGUGGCACGGUGGACGCUGGGGCACGGUGUGUGACGACGGCU
Tupaia belangeri chinensis (Chinese tree shrew) is the source of this 296-nucleotide long non-coding RNA. RefSeq lists it as uncharacterized. NCBI's taxonomy places the organism in Eukaryota, Metazoa, Chordata, Mammalia, Scandentia, Tupaiidae. The record is from RefSeq and is a predicted model, not a curated record. The transcript is spliced from 3 exons.